CGACGUGAGGGAACCUGCCUUUCAGAGGGGGACAACAGUUGGAAACGACUGCUAAUACCGCAUAACAUAUGUUUGUCGCAUGGCAGAUAUAUCAAAGAUUUAUCGCUGAGAGAUGGCCUCGCGUCUGAUUAGCUAGUUGGUAGGGUAACGGCCUACCAAGGCGACGAUCAGUAGCCGGACUGAGAGGUUGGCCGGCCACAUUGGGACUGAGAUACGGCCCAGACUCCUACGGGAGGCAGCAG
RNAcentral lists this ribosomal RNA (242 nucleotides) under uncultured bacterium. Its description in RNAcentral is "partial 16S ribosomal RNA". It matches the Rfam family "Bacterial small subunit ribosomal RNA", at positions 113 to 354 of the family's 1533-position model. The record is from RNAcentral.